GAACUUCUUUGCGGCGAGCCAAAUAAUGCAAGUCGAGCGGACAGAAGGGAGCUUGCUCCCGGAUGUUAGCGGCGGACGGGUGAGUAACACGUGGGUAACCUGCCUGUAAGACUGGGAUAACUCCGGGAAACCGGAGCUAAUACCGGAUAGUUCCUUGAACCGCAUGGUUCAAGGAUGAAAGACGGUUUCGGCUGUCACUUACAGAUGGACCCGCGGCGCAUUAGCUAGUUGGUGGGGUAAUGGCUCACCAAGGCGACGAUGCGUAGCCGACCUGAGAGGGUGAUCGGCCACACUGGGACUGAGACACGGCCCAGACUCCUACGGGAGGCAGCAGUAGGGAAUCUUCCGCAAUGGACGAAAGUCUGACGGAGCAACGCCGCGUGAGUGAUGAAGGUUUUCGGAUCGUAAAGCUCUGUUGUUAGGGAAGAACAAGUGCGAGAGUAACUGCUCGCACCUUGACGGUACCUAACCAGAAAGCCACGGCUAACUACGUGCCAGCAGCCGCGGUAAUACGUAGGUGGCAAGCGUUGUCCGGAAUUAUUGGGCGUAAAGGGCUCGCAGGCGGUUUCUUAAGUCUGAUGUGAAAGCCCCCGGCUCAACCGGGGAGGGUCAUUGGAAACUGGGAAACUUGAGUGCAGAAGAGGAGAGUGGAAUUCCACGUGUAGCGGUGAAAUGCGUAGAGAUGUGGAGGAACACCAGUGGCGAAGGCGACUCUCUGGUCUGUAACUGACGCUGAGGAGCGAAAGCGUGGGGAGCGAACAGGAUUAGAUACCCUGGUAGUCCACGCCGUAAACGAUGAGUGCUAAGUGUUAGGGGGUUUCCGCCCCUUAGUGCUGCAGCUAACGCAUUAAGCACUCCGCCUGGGGAGUACGGUCGCAAGACUGAAACUCAAAGGAAUUGACGGGGGCCCGCACAAGCGGUGGAGCAUGUGGUUUAAUUCGAAGCAACGCGAAGAACCUUACCAGGUCUUGACAUCCUCUGACAACCCUAGAGAUAGGGCUUUUC
Molecule: ribosomal RNA, 1005 nt
Filed under: Bacillus pumilus
Lineage: Bacteria; Bacillati; Bacillota; Bacilli; Caryophanales; Bacillaceae
Description: bacterial SSU rRNA
Rfam family: Bacterial small subunit ribosomal RNA
Source: RNAcentral